Molecule: ribosomal RNA, 714 nt
Filed under: uncultured bacterium
Lineage: Bacteria
Description: bacterial SSU rRNA
Rfam family: Bacterial small subunit ribosomal RNA
Source: RNAcentral
AUGCAAGUCGAGGGGCAGCACGAGUAGCAAUACUUGGUGGCGACCGGCGCAAGGGUGCGUAACGCGUGAGCAACAUGCCCGUAUCAGGGGAAUAAUCUAGGGAAACUUAGUCUAAUACCCCAUAGCAUUAUUAAUCGGCAUCGAUUUAUAAUUAAAGCUUUGGUGGAUACGGAUUGGCUCGCGUGACAUUAGUUAGAUGGUAAGGUAACGGCUUACCAUGACUAUGAUGUCUAGGGGUUCUGAGAGGAAGAUCCCCCACACUGGAACUGAGACACGGUCCAGACUCCUACGGGAGGUAGCAGUGAGGAAUAUUGGACAAUGGAUGGAAAUCUGAUCCAGCCAUGCCGCGUGCAGGAAGACGGUCCUAUGGAUUGUAAACUGCUUUUAUAUGGGAGCAAUAAGGUCUUUGCGAAGACUGAUGAGAGUACCAUAUGAAUAAGCAUCGGCUAACUCCGUGCCAGCAGCCGCGGUAAUACGGAGGAUGCGAGCGUUAUCCGGAUUUAUUGGGUUUAAAGGGUGCGUAGGCGGUCUGAUAAGUCAGUGGUGAAAGUUUUCAGCUUAACUGGAAAAAUGCCAUUGAUACUGUCAGGCUAGAAUAUGGUUGCUGUGAGUGGAAUGUGUGGUGUAGCGGUGAAAUGCUUAGAUAUCACACAGAAUAUCGAUUGCGAAGGCAGCUCACAAAGCCAUUAUUGACGCUGAGGCACGAAAGUGUGG